CCCUGGCAGAUUUUUGAUGAUUGAUCUUUACUGAAAACAAAUUCAUAAACAAGACAACAAAUCAAAAGCUUAUUUUAUUAUAUUAAUAGAUUUUUUCUUGUUACAGAUUUGAAAAGUCCACAUACAGGCAGAAUGGCACCACACACAAAACAACAUGAAAAGUUUGGCUGUGUAAAAUAUUUGUGCAAGAAACCCAAAAGGAAUUACUCAAGUGCAGCCAACCUAUUUAAUUUGAAAUGGAAUCAAACCAGAAUUAAACACCAUGCAUGGACCAGAACUCUCAUUCUUUGGACUAAUCAUCAAUCUGGAAUUAACACUCGUUUAGAAUGGCUAAGAUAAAGGAGCAAAUCUUUGCUAAGGUUAGUACAAAAACAAAACUUAUUGAAUACCUAAGUUUUGAAAUGAUGGUAACAAGCAUAUAUCUUAUCCUUUUGAUGAAAACUAUUUUAACUGAUCAUACAAAAUAUUGUAUCAAAAUUGUAAUAGUGUGUGUCAGCCUCUUACUUAAUGUUUUGUCAUUUUUUUAGGUGCCAAACUGACUGCAAUAGAAAAAACUAAUUUUGAAGAAGGAGAACUAACAUAAAGAUGUGCAAUGUGGCCACCAUAGCAGCUUUUGAAGAUGCAGGUGAAACUCCCACUGAUACAAUCUGGCAGAAAUGAAUAAACUUGUGUGGCUGUUUACUUAUUAAAGAUUUCGGAACUUGCAAAAAGGCAAAGAACAAAUCUUCAAAGAAUAAGAUUUGCAGUAGUCAACAUGGAGUCACAUGGGAACAACUCAAAUCUCAAUCCUAUCGAACAUAUUUGGGUUGAACUUAAAGGCAUAUGAGCAUGAAGUCCAGCUCACACACAUCAAGAGUGGAACUAUACCACAAGAAUUCAUAAUUAAGUUAAUACAGUGCAUGAAAACCGUUUAAGAACUGUAAUUAAAGCUAAAGGGAUAAGAUUAAUAAACAUGUUAUCGAAAAUUUC
Molecule: long non-coding RNA, 969 nt
Organism: Helicoverpa armigera (cotton bollworm)
Lineage: Eukaryota; Metazoa; Arthropoda; Insecta; Lepidoptera; Noctuidae
Exons: 8
Source: RefSeq, a predicted model, not a curated record